RNAcentral lists this ribosomal RNA (300 nucleotides) under uncultured Fluviicola sp. Its description in RNAcentral is "bacterial SSU rRNA". It matches the Rfam family "Bacterial small subunit ribosomal RNA", at positions 114 to 413 of the family's 1533-position model. Lineage: Bacteria; Pseudomonadati; Bacteroidota; Flavobacteriia; Flavobacteriales; Crocinitomicaceae. The record is from RNAcentral.
CGCGUAUGCAACCUACCUUAUACAGGAGUAUAGCCCGAAGAAAUUCGGAUUAAUCCUCCAUAGUAUUUUCUAAUGGCAUCAUUUGGAAAAUUAAAGCUUCGGCGGUAUAAGAUGGGCAUGCGUCCUAUUAGCUAGAUGGUAAGGUAACGGCUUACCAUGGCAACGAUAGGUAGGGGGCCUGAGAGGGUGAUCCCCCACACUGGUACUGAGACACGGACCAGACUCCUACGGGAGGCAGCAGUGAGGAAUAUUGGGCAAUGGAGGCAACUCUGACCCAGCCAUGCCGCGUGCAGGAAGAAU